Molecule: ribosomal RNA, 460 nt
Filed under: uncultured bacterium
Lineage: Bacteria
Description: partial 16S ribosomal RNA
Rfam family: Bacterial small subunit ribosomal RNA
Source: RNAcentral
CCUACGGGAGGCAGCAGUGAGGAAUAUUGGUCAAUGGACGAGAGUCUGAACCAGCCAAGUAGCGUGAAGGAUGACUGCCCUAUGGGUUGUAAACUUCUUUUAUAAAGGAAUAAAACGAGGCACGUGUGCCUUUUUGCAUGUACUUUAUGAAUAAGGAUCGGCUAACUCCGUGCCAGCAGCCGCGGUAAUACGGAGGAUCCGAGCGUCAUCCGGAUUUAUUGGGUUUAAAGGGAGCGUAGAUGGGUUGGUAAGUCAGUUGUGAAAGUUUGCGGCUCAACCGUAAAAUUGCAAUUGAUACUGGCAGUCUUGAGUACAGUUGAGGUAGGCGGAAUUCGUGGUGUAGCGGUGAAAGGCUUAGAUAUCACGAAGAACCCCGAUUGCGAAGGCAGCUUACUAAACUGUGACUGACAUUGAUGCUCGAAAGUGUGGGUAUCAAACAGGAUUAGAUACCCUGGUAGUC